GCGUGCUUAACACAUGCAAGUCGUGCGAGAAAGGGACUUCGGUCCUGAGUAGAGCGGCGCACGGGUGAGUAACGCGUGGGUGAUCUCCCUUGGUGAUCGGGAUAACAGCGGGAAACUGCUGCUAAUACCGGAUAAUCUUCAUGUUUAACUUCAUGGGGUAAAGGUGGCCUCUGCUUGCAAGCUACCACAUCAAGAUGAGCCCGCGUCUCAUUAGCUAGUUGGUAGGGUAAUGGCCUACCAAGGCUACGAUGAGUAGCUGGUCUGAGAGGAUGACCAGCCACACUGGGACUGGAACACGGCCCAGACUCCUACGGGAGGCAGCAGUGGGGAAUAUUGCGCAAUGGGCGAAAGCCUGACGCAGCGACGCCUCGUGAGGGAUGAAGGUCUUCGGAUCGUAAACCUCUGUCAAGAGGGAAGAAACCCUUGGAUUCGAAUAGGGUCCUUGGCUGACGGUACCUCAAAAGGAAGCACCGGCUAACUCCGUGCCAGCAGCCGCGGUAAUACGGAGGGUGCAAGCGUUAAUCGGAAUCACUGGGCGUAAAGCGCUCGUA
This 551-nucleotide ribosomal RNA is filed under the name uncultured Desulfovibrio sp. RNAcentral describes it as "bacterial SSU rRNA". It matches the Rfam family "Bacterial small subunit ribosomal RNA", at positions 42 to 573 of the family's 1533-position model. Lineage: Bacteria; Pseudomonadati; Thermodesulfobacteriota; Desulfovibrionia; Desulfovibrionales; Desulfovibrionaceae. The record is from RNAcentral.